RNAcentral lists this transfer RNA (75 nucleotides) under bacterium. RNAcentral's name for it is "tRNA-Val". It matches the Rfam family "tRNA". From Rfam's summary of the family: Transfer RNA (tRNA) molecules are approximately 80 nucleotides in length. Their secondary structure includes four short double-helical elements and three loops (D, anti-codon, and T loops). Further hydrogen bonds mediate the characteristic L-shaped molecular structure. tRNAs have two regions of fundamental functional importance: the anti-codon, which is responsible for specific mRNA codon recognition, and the 3' end, to which the tRNAs corresponding amino acid is attached (by aminoacyl-tRNA synthetases). tRNAs cope with the degeneracy of the genetic code in two manners: having more than one tRNA (with a specific anti-codon) for a particular amino acid; and 'wobble' base-pairing, i.e. permitting non-standard base-pairing at the 3rd anti-codon position. The record is from RNAcentral.
GGGCAGCUAGCUCAACGGUAGAGCAUCGCGUUUACAUCGCGGGGGUUACAGGUUCGAAUCCUGUGCUGCCCACCA